RNAcentral lists this long non-coding RNA (25490 nucleotides) under Populus trichocarpa (black cottonwood). Its description in RNAcentral is "long non-coding RNA (PTRI_LNC001528)". The record is from RNAcentral. Lineage: Eukaryota; Viridiplantae; Streptophyta; Magnoliopsida; Malpighiales; Salicaceae.
UAUUUUUUUUCCGGUUUUCUCGGUUUUCUCGGUUUUUCAGUUUUUUUGCUCACCCCUAAUGGUAUCCAUGUUAGAUAGCCGAGAGAAAAUAAUAUGAUUAACUUUGGCUAACGGUAUCCAUGCUAGGACAACCAAAAGUAAACAUUAAGUAUAGUCUCAAUUGAUAGUAUUCAUCGAUAUGAUGAAAGGAUGAUAAUAAUAUAUUAUUAUCGAUCAGAAAUCAUGUUUUAAGAACCUAUAUUAAUUUAUUAUAAUUAAAGAUGAAUAAUUUAUAUAAUGAAGAAUUCUCUAUAUAUGAAUUCAUAGAUUAUAUUAUAUAUCAUUGGUUGAUUGUUGGACAUAAAUUAAGGUGAAGUAACGAGGACUAUUGUUGUAUGAAGAUGUGAAGUAAUGCAUUCAAGAUAGACCUAGUAAAAAGUGAUUAAUGUGAACUUGCUUCAUUAGAUAUUAAUCUUAAUUGUGACUAUAUGUUUUAUUACUCAAUUGUACCAUAAUUAAUGUUUAUACUCUUACAUCAAAUUUAAUUUGUAAUAGGAUCAUCUCAUAACCAUGAUGUAUAGCAAUCUCAUAGUAUCUAUAUUGUGAAACUGAAUGAUCAUGUAAUAAUCUAUUUAGUAGUAAGAAUGAACGACUCAUAUUUUGUAAAAUUGUAUGAUAUCGAUAUUCGAAUUUAGGAUAUGUAAAUUAUGGUGUUUUGAUAAGCUUUAUAUUUUGAACAUGAUGUAUAUGUACCUCUCCUUCCUAUAAUACUAUUAUAUCUUAUGUGUAUGUAGUCUAUAUGAAUGCUCAGAUAUGUUUGGCUAUUAACAUGAUAAAUGGUAUAAUGAAAUAUACAUUUCUAAGAAGUUAAGUAUAUAAUUUAAGAAUCAUUUGCAUUAAACAUUAUGCUAAAGGACAAUGAUAUGUGUGUGUAUCAAAAAUAUUUGGAAUUUUACUGGCUUUUAUAGUUGGUAUCAGAGCUCCUAGCUUUGAUCCUAGAGAAUCUAAAGUAAAUACUUAUAAGUAUUGCCUAUUUCAGGGUGGUAUGUACUUGGCAAAGAACUCUUGUUGAACCAACCUUUAUAUAAAGGGGAAAUAAAGGCAAGGGUGCUGAUAAAUAGCAAGAGAAAAGUCCUCUAGAUGAUAUUGCUUCUCAUGUACUAGUAGUGUCAUUUCAGUCCAGGCAAUGAGAAUCAGUAGGAGUUUAGAAUGAACAUACUCUGAAAUAAAUGUACCCCCUCCGACGACACCAAUAAGAGUAUCCACGCCUUAUGUUGACCCAGUAUUCCUUGUACACAUAGUCAAGGUAGUAAUAGAAGGUAUGGCCAGUACUACAACUCAUGCAACCCCAACUGUACCGACUACACUAGCAAAUCUAGAAAUUUCUACAAUCACUGAUAAUGUAGCACUACUGGUUCAACUAGUUAAAAGUAUGAGAGAAAUAGGUUGCAAACCUUAUAUGGGGGAGCAGGAUGCAAAAAUAGUUGGAAGAUGACUCGGGAAAGUGGAGAAAACGAUGAUUUAAAUUAAAAUACCUGAAGAUUUAUGGGUAAAUGAUGCUACACAAUUGUUAUCUGAUAGAGCUAUAACAUGGUGGGAAAUAGUCCAGUUAAGAUGUGCUAUAGAAGCAUUGACCUAAAAUGACUUCAAAUUCAAAUUUGAAAAUCAAUUUUACUCCCCGCAAAGUGAAAGAACAAUAAUUCUUAGCCUUAACACAAGGGAAGAUGUUUGUGCUAGAAUAUGAAAGUGAUUUCAUGAUCUCUCAUUAUUCGCCUCACGUUAUGUUUCGACCGAGGAACAUAUGAUAGAAAAACUAAAGGAUGGUUUUUGUCAGGACUUAAGGCAAAUAUUAAUUGCCCUACAAUUCAAGAUGGUGAGAUAGUUAAUCGAAGCAACACAAGCAUUGAAAGUAUGCAUUGGGGAAGGCCAUCAGGGUCAGUAUAGGAUUGUCAAAGAGAAAAGAUAAUGAAUUUUCUGCGAAUAGGCAACCACUCUCGAAAAAAGGUAAAACUGGAUUGUUUAAUCAAUUUAAGAAGAAAAUGGGGUAUCAGUAUGUUCUCACCAACAUACAGGUAGAGGAAUGAUGGGAGGACAGAUACACUCGAGGGUUAACCUUUUAGGGGGAUCAUUAACCAGAAAAAUGUUAUGUACCCUUUUUGUGUACAUUGUGAAUAGAGAGACACCCCAAUUAUUGUUCGGUCUCCCCGAACCAAUGUUUUAUAUGCCUAGGAGAGGGUCAUAGAUGGAGAGCUUAUCAGUAUCUAAGACAAGGAUGUUUUGUUUUAGUGAAAAAGGACACUUCAAAAGAGAGUGCCAUCACAAAAUCUCUGGGCAAUCACAGAAUGUGAAGCAAACAAGUCAGAGUCAUCAACGGUCUAUCAUAAUGAAUAGACCCAUGAAAUCAACACAGUCAAGGGCUAAUUCUAAUCAGGAGCUUGUCAAUAUUUAACUUAUUUAAUGUUUGAAACUUGAUUAUUAUAGUAGUUUAACAUUGGGUAAAGCUUUAAUUUGAGGGGGGAAAAUCAUGCCUCCACCUUAACUAUAGGGUUGGUCAUAUGUGAUGCAUGGAUAGGGAAAAUAGUUUUUAAAAUUUAUUUUUUAAUUGUAUUGUGGAUUAUAUUAAUACUCAAACGAUGAUAAAUAAUGAGGAAGAAUUGAAAGAGAACAAAAGGGGACUCACAAUUUCCUUUAUUGAUCAUGCCAACUAAUAGGCUAUAAAAAGGUGGGGAAAGGAAAGGUAUAUGGAUGAUGUGUGAAAUUAUCAUAGAAAAUGUGUUUGAAUUAAUUUGGGUUUAAUCGACAAAGAAUUUUGAAUAUUGAAAUGAAAAUAUAUAGGUGUAUGUAUGAUUUCGGGAAAUAAAAAUUGAAGAGUGUUAAUUUAAGAAAAGUUGUGUAAUGAUUCAAUGAUUUUGGGGAAAAAGAAAAAUGAUUAAUGAUGAUGAAAUUAUCCUGUGAUGGCAGGGAAUACUACUGCAAGCAUGCCACAGUUUAGAGUAGAAGCUAGGACAUCACGCAAUACAGGUAGGUUCUAACCUAUAGCAUAAUUAUCUAAGGCAUUGUUUAAUUAUGAAAUGCAAAUUUAUUACAAUUUUAUUUGAUAUUGAGAGUAUUUGGUUUAGAGAUAAUGAAAUAAAUAAAUAAAUAAACAAUUGAAGGAGAUCCCGACUUGAUUAGUCAUUCCUGAAAUUAGGAGACUAAUGAUAUCAAUAUAAUUUAUUGAUAUCAGCACUUUUCAAAUUUGAUUAGUCGUUCCCAGAAUUGAAAAACUAAUGAUAUCAAUAUAAUUUAUUGAUAUUGACACUUUCUAAACUUUAUUAGUCCUUCUCGAAAUUAAAAGACUAAUGAUAUCAAUAUAAUUUAUUGAUAUCGGCACCAUCUGAACUUGAUUAGUCGUUUCUAAAAUUAGAAGACUAAUGAUAUCAAUAAAAUUUAUUAAUAUCGGCAUUAAUCGAGAUUUGAUUAGUUGUUCCUAGAAUUGAGAGAAUAAUGAUAUCAAUAUAGUUUAUUGAUAUCAACAUUAAUCAAGAUUCAAUUAGUUGUUCCUGGAAUUGGAAGACUAAUGAUAUUAAUAGAUUUUAUUGAUAUUAGUAUUAAUUGAGAUUUGAUUAGUUGUUUCGAGGAUUGGGAGACUAAUGAUAUUAAUAAAUUUUAUUGAUAUUGGAAUUAAUUGAGAUUUAAUUAGUCAUUUCUGGAAUUGAGAGUUUAAUGAUAUCAAUAGAAUUUAUUGAUAUUGGCAUUAUUCAAGAUUUGACUUGUUGCUUCUGGAAUUCAGAGACUAAUGAUAACCAUGAUAGACAUUGAUAUGCGUAUAUUUUAUAUGGACCAUAUAUAUAUAUAUAUAUAUAUAUAUAUAUAUAUAUAUAUAUAUAUAAAGGAGAAUGGUUAAGGAAGAAUUUAAAUAUAAUUCAGUUGUAUUAAAUUAUUUAAGUGAUUAUUCUUAAUUAACAUAUCAUAUGUUGCAUUCUUUUCAGGGUCAUCACAUUCAUGCUAGGAGUAGAUUACUUCUGCAUCUCUUGAUUAUAUAAGCCAGAUUCAGGAUAUGCAUUUUGAACAAUAAUAUUAUUUUGCUUAGCAUGUAAACAUAUAUGCUCAUAUUUUAUGGAUUGUAAUUAUCUAACCUAAAUGCACUUUAACACUUAUGUAUGUUGUAUUUAAUAUCAAUUUCUUAAGUAUAUGGAAUUAUUGUACUUUGUAUAUAUAUGGAUAUAGUUGUUAAAUAUAUUUGUAUGGAUGAAGUUGUUUUGAGAAACAUUGAUUGGUGGAGGGAAAUGAUCUACGAUGAUUGAAUCAAGUAGAUGAAAUUGUGUUGAAAUGUGAAACAGUUUUAAUCGAUAACUUUGGACUUUCCAUUAUAGGAGAAACUCUGUCAAAAUUUCAUCAAAAAUUUGAGUGAAAUUUUACAUAUACAUUUGUUUUUUUUAAAAAAAAAUUGCUUGUAAAUCUUCCUGAUAAUAAUUAGGAAUGUUACAUGUAGUGUAUAAGUUAGUAUUUCCCCCAUAUUUGACCAAAAUUCAUGAUGUGUUCUAUAUCGAGAGCUACUACAAAAAGCCGAUGUGGAUCCUUCACGAACACUACCCCAGGUUCCUUUAGAAAUUGAGGAAGAUUUAACUCUGGAAGUAAAGCAAGUAAAGGUGUUAAAUCAAAUUGAAAAGGAACUCAAAAAUAAAAAGAUUUAUAUGAUAAAAGUAUUAUGGAGAAGUUUUAAAAUUGAGGAGAAAACUUGGAAAAGAGAAUUGGAGACGAGAAAUAAGUAUCCCAAAUUAUUUUUAGACUCAGGUACGAGAAUCAAAUUUCGAGAAAAAAAUUUUAUUUAAGGAGGGAAGAAUGCAAAACCCUGUUUAAAAUUUUUUUUUUCUUUUCGAGUUAGUAAAAUAUAAAAUUUUAAUUUUGGAGAUAAAAUAGGUUACAUCACAUUAAGGAAAAUCUCAUGGUGAUUUGAGUAAAUAAAACAAUGUGCAAGAUUCAUAUUUUUUUAGUGUAAAAUCACUAACUAUCCAAUUUUACGAUAUUAAACAUAUCUUUCAAUCCGACUAUUGAAUCAAGUCAAAAUUUUAUGAGUUUUCAGAUUUAAUAUUCUAUCUGGGAUUAACAUUUCGAGAAAAUCCAAGUUUGAAAAGAUUUUGAAAAACAGUGAUGACCAGGUAUACAAUAAUAAAAUAUUAAUUAAGUGGGGACCAAGUUGUGAUUAUGGAACAUUUAGGGCAAUAGUGUAGUAAAGUGAAACGAGGGUGAUUAAAUUGUGAAUGGCUUCUCCUUGAAACGAUUCAUGUCUAGCAACAGUGUGUGAGUAAAACAAAGAGGGUUUCGUCAAUAUAUUUGAUCUUUACCAUAAAUUCACCCAUUUAAACACUACAUAAGAGUGGGUAAAGGAAUAAAAAAAAAAGGUGUAUGAGGGAUUUGAGCUGAUAAUUGAAGUUUUCUUGGAGUCUUGAAGGGCAAAAAGUGAUGGGUUGGGAGCACAAAAAUAAAGGAAGAAGAAAACUUGUUUUCAUGAUCUUUUUUCUUCAAAUCUCUUGUGUUUAAGAGGUGAGAAACCUUGAUUCAAACUUGGUUUGAGUUUAUUUUGUGAAAUGAUACAUUUUAGGUGAAAUAUGCAUGAUGAAAAUUUGGAAUUUCUUGAAUUAUUAUUUAAAUUGAUGGUAUUGUGUUUGAAUGAUAUUCAUAAGAAUAAAAUAUGAUUAGAUAAUGAUUAAAUUGGAAGAAUUGAAGAGAAAAUCUACCCCCUUCCAUCAUUGUGAUGGGUUCGAACAAGAAAAAAAAAUAAGAGUGGGAUUAAUUGAUGAAAUUGUUAUGUAAUUUGCAUGGAAUUAUGUUUUAUGAGUAUAUAAGAUAUGGGUGAUACAUGAAUAUGGAUAAUUAAAAAGAAAAAAUUCAUCCUCUUAUUAUUAAGGAAUUCGGCCAAACACUAAUGUUUAAAGGAUGAAGUUUUUAAUUGUCUUAAUAGGUGGAUUAUGUUUAAAUGGGUAAUAUAAAUGUAUAAGGGAUGAAUAAAAUAUGGGUGUGUACACACACACACACACAUCUUUCUAUGAUUUUAGAGUGUGUGUGUGUAGAUGUUAUUCUUUAAGGGAUGAAGUUUUUAAUUGUCUUAAUAGGUGAAUUAUGUUUAAAUGGGUAAUAUAAAUGUAUAAGGGAUGAAUAAAAUGUGGGUGUGUACACACACACACUAUUUUAGUGUGUGUGUGUGUGUGUGUGUGUGGAUUUUAUUCUGGGGAUUUAGGAAUGGAUCUAACAAUUAUAAUAAAAUGAUAGUGAUAAAUUUAUGUUAUGUUAAGAGGAGAUACCACCGCUGCCAGAUUACUGGCCGGAGUAGAAGCAGGGACUUCAUAUGUAGCAGGUUGGUGUUAGAUACCUUAAUCACUUUUAAUUAAUUAAUAAAAGUUAAGCAUGCAACUAAAAAUUUGUUUAAAUUAUAAUUUAUGUUGUCAAAUAAUAUGAUAAGCUAAUUAUCUUGGUUUUGAGACUAGCACUUGGUUUGGACAUGUUGAGCUAGUUACUCUGGUUUAAGGACCGGUGCCCGGAUUAGGGCAAUGUGGUUGAGUACCCUGAAUAAAAGGUCUAUACCCGGUUUUGAGAUAAGGUAAAACUUUAUCAUGGUAAUGAGUUAGAUGUUCAAGGGAGGACAAAAAAUUAAAUAACGUAGAAUUUGUGAAAUCUCUCUAGGGUUGACUUAAUUAAGUUGAAUUAAAGAAAUUUACUUAACACAUUUUAUACAUUAUGUUAUAUCCAAGUGUAGUUAAUUAUGUGUGAAUAAUUUUUCAGAUACCUCAUAAGAGCAUGUUGAUCCAUAACUCCUCAAGAGUUGUAUUUUUGUUUAGAAAUUGCAAUAUAACUAAUUAUUAGGUCAUAUUGAAAUGAAAAUAUUUUUUUUGGGCUUGUACUAAAAUGUUAGAUGAUAUUUCAAAUGAUAUAAGUUAAUUAACUUGAAAGUUUGGAUGAUUUAAUUUAUAUUUUGCAAUAUGUUCACUUUAAAACCUUAAAUAGAAUACGUCAUGUACUGAUUUGCCAUUAAAAUUCAUGUUAGGUUAUAAUUUAUAAAUAUUUACAAAAUAUCUUUUUAAAGAUAUUUAUAAAAAAUGUUUGAAUAAAUCAUAAAAUAAAAAUGUUAAAGUUCAAUUAUUGCAAGACAUUGAGAAUGUCAGAGUCCCAAAUGGUGGGAUACUAAAUGGGUGAAAGCCCCGGAUGAUGGGAUAAAUGUUGAAAUCUUUAUCUCUAGGUUAUGAAAACUGGUUAAGUUGAUAGCUUGAUAUUGAAAGAUUAGAGAAAAUUCUGCUGAAAUUUUGGCAGAAAAAAAUUCUUGUAUUUUAAAUGUUAAUACAACAUGUAUACAUGGAAUAUUGUGUAAAUAAAUUGAGGUCGUUACAUAUGUGACCAAUGUUCAUUCAUUCCACACUUAUAAUGUAUAUUUUUUCAUCUUUUUAAUGUCUCCACUAUGUAUAUUCUUUCUAUUUUCUUGUUUCUCCUUAUUUUGUGAAGGUUUGUUAGAAUUAUUACCAUCAUAGCUGUCAAAAUUAAUCCGUCUUUGCUCAUGGCCACAUCCACGGACUGUACUACGACCAUGAUCAUGACCACAACCAUAAUUACUAUUAUUUCUCGUAGCAUUCACUCCAAGGAAUGGAGUUGAACCAGUUGUUCGUGAUACAUAUUUUUUUUAUUAUCAAAAGCUCAUUAUUUUGUCCAACCACAAGGAGACAUGAAAUUAGUUCAGAGUAUUUCUUAAAACCUCGUUCUCUAUAUUGCUGCUGCAGAAGCACAUUCGAGGCAUAGAGAGUAUUUUUUGUCUAACACAUCUCAUCCGUGAUAUUAUCUCCAUAUAAUUUUAAUUUGGAACUGAUAUUAAACAUUUCAGAAUUAUAUUCACUUGUCAAUUUAAAAUCAUGCAAUCGUAAAUGUAUUCAAUGCUUUUGGGAGAAUAAGUUUCCUUUAAUAGUCAUAUCUUUCUUUCAAGUUUUUCCAAAGAAUAAGGGAAUCUUUGAUUGUGAGAUACUUAAUUUGCAAUUCCUUGUGAAGAUGAUGACCUUAGAAAAUCAUGAUAUUUGCCUUAUUUUGACUAGAUUUUUUAUUGUCAGCUUUAAUGAUGUCUUCGAGACCCAUGACAUCUUGAUGAAUUUUGAUAUCAAGGACUCAUGAUAAAUAAUUCUUAUCCGUAAUAUGAAGUGUCGUUAACUCAAGUUUAACAAGAUUUGUCAUGAUUACUUCAUGAAAAAUAUUAAGAUUGUUAGAAAUUUAGCUUAAACAUUAUAAUAGAUAUUGAAUAAAUUUGUUAUGAAUUUCAAAAAAGAAAAUGAUUCACUUAAAUAACUAGAAGGAAAAAAAUUAAGUAGAUAAACUAACAUUCCAUUUUUUAUCCAUAAAUCAAAUAUGAUUAUCCGCUUCAAAAUGAAAGUAAGGAGCAAUCAUGCUAAUGAUGUUUUAUAAAACUAUAUCUUUAGAAACAGACAAAAUACUUAAUAAAAAGUAAAUAACAUAAAUAAGAACAAUAAAGAUUGGGAGAACAUAAAUAAGGAGCAAUCAUUCAUAUUUAUAUAGUCUUGUAAAUGUCGUCAUAUACACAUCAUCUCAACAAUGUUUUUAUUUAUGAUCUAAUGUACAUUAAUACUUCUAAGCCCAAGAAUUAUAGAUAUAGAGUUCAAAUAAAUUUAAAGAUGAUGAAUAAACAUGAAGAUUAAAAGAUAAAAGAACAUUAUAAUAUAUGAUGUCAUAAUAAAUAUGAUUAUCAAAUUAGAAAAGAAAGAAAACGAGUGCAGGGACCGAAUCCACUCUAAACCAUAGCUAUUAAACCUAGACCGGGGGUUAACCUGACCAAGGGGCCGAGUCCUGGGUCACACGGAUUGACCCAGAUUGACCCAGGUCAAUAAAAUAAAAAUUUAAGGUUUGAAUAUAAAGUUUUUUUUAUCUUAUAUUAGAAAGAUACUAUUUUAUCUUUUUAAAUUGAAGUAUUUAAAUAAAAAGAUUUUCUUAUCCCAUAUUGAAAAAAACACAACUCUUUUCUUGUUACAUAAAGUAUAUAUGUAUGUAUGUAUGUAUGUAUAAAACAUUCUGUAGUGUUUAUAUAGUGAACUUUGUUGUGGGUUAGUAACUAACAAGAAAAUGAUGGUAGGUUCGCUCGCAUAAGGUUUGGCCAAGAAAGAAGAAAACCUUUGAUUGCUCCCCAUACGUGUGAGGCAAAGUCUAUGCUUUUUAGAUCCUUUAUCUUCAUUGAUAAUUUUGUUUAUAUCUCCAUUAACUAAAACCACUACUUUUUAUUGUUGUCCAUCCCUAGCUAAUGUGGUUAUUUUUUAUUGCUUUCCAUCCCAACUUGAACUACAUUGCUUAUCUGGUAGUGUUCAUUGGCAUGCUAAAACAAACUAUAAAUUUGAUUUUUCAGUUUGUUAAAUGAAAUGCUUGCAUUGAAAAAAAUAUUAUUACAUGUUAAAAUGUGUAUAAGUAAGAAAAUAGGGAGAAAGGUUUAUGCCUUUACAAAAAAAACAUGGACAUGAAAAAAAAAAUUGUCUCUUCCGGGUUUAUUAAGUUACCUGAAUUUUAAGUUGUUUAGACAGUUUUUUCCUGGUUAAUUAUAGGCUUAGCCUCAAAUCCCUGUCAACCUAUCGGACAUAAUCGAGUCCAACAACUAUGCUCUUAGGGCCUGUUUGGGAUUGUGAUAGCGGUUGCAGUUUAAAGUAUUUUUCGCUUAGAAAUACAUCAAAAUAAUAUAUUUUUUUAAUUUUUAAAAAUUAUUUUGAUAUCGGCAUAUCAAAACAAUUUGAAGACAUUAAAAAAAAUCACAAAAAAAUUAAAAUUUAAAAUAAUACGCUUUGCCAUAGUUUUGAAACCCGACCCGAUCAUCGACCCGGUCCAGUGAUCGGGUCAUGAGUCAGAUGGGUUGACCUGGGUCAACCAAAAAAAAACACCUAUAUAAAACACCUAACUAGUUACAAAUUUACAAUGCAACACUUACAUAAACCAAAUUUAAAUUUUAAACCAACAACAUAAAUUUAAUUCAAUAUCCAAAACACAAACCAAAUAUAAAUUCUAAAAUAUUUAAAACAAAAUAUCCAACAACAUAAAUUCUAAAUCAACAACACAUUCACUUUGGUUGAAUGAACACAUUAAGUUCUUCUGUGUCCAUGGGAGCAAAAUUUGGAUUAAAUGUCGAUGGAAUUGAGCCAAUCUCGUCAACACCUAAUAAAUCAUCAGCAUGCUCCUUUGAAACUUCAUCGUCACAAUCAUCUUCAAUCUCAUUAACAUUUAUGACAUUUAUAUUUCAAACACAAUUAACAAAUAAAUAUUAUGUGUUAAACAAUACUUUAUUUUAAAUAAUAUUUAUCACUAAAUAAUCAAUCAUUAAUUACCAUCAUCUAAAGUAUCUUGUAUGGUCAUAGUUGAUAGAGCUUGGUGAAAACUCUCUGCUUCUUCAGUUGUCAAAAUUGACGGGUCAUCUUCCACUACCCAAUUUUCAAUGUCACAAAUUGUCUCAACAUUAAUUGGAUCAUAAUUUCAUCCUUUCCAAUAAUUCCUAUAUAUUAAAAGUGAAGGUUAACAUAAUAUAAGUAUUAAUAAUGCUACUAAAUAAGAUAAAAUAAUAUUUAAGGAAUUAGAGAAAAGAAAAAUAUUUUUGUUUCAAUCUUAGAUUGCAGUGGACGUAAACAAGGUCGUUAAGCCUUUGGUGCUCCAAUCUAUUUCUCUUCUUGGAGUGAAUAUGUUCAAACAUACUCCAAUUUCUCUCGUAUCCCGAAGAACUACAUGUUUGACUUAACACUCAUAUAACCAACUGUUGUAGAUUUGGAGCACUAGUUCCAUAUGUCAUUCACCAUUCAUCUAUACAAAAAUAUAAUAAGUAAGAGUGUAAGACUGUCAAAUAAUAUUUUUAAAUAUAAAAAUUAUAUACCUGGAGGCAUAAGGGUGCGAUUAUUUAUUGAGGACGCUCAACCAAAGUCAUGUUCAGCAUUCCUAAACAACUUCAUCUCACUUGUAAUCUUACUUUGCAAUGAUAGAUUUCCAUGUGCAUACUUCUCAAGAACAUCUAGAAGUCCAGAAAUGGUGCUCAUAUGUUUAUCCAAUAUAUUUGCAUUAUAUUGAAAUCGAGAAUUCAACCAAAAUGCCGCUGCAUAAAGAUUUCUAUAUAGUUGUCCAUCCUACCGAUUAUUGAUAAUGUCUAUGAAAGGUUUCACUCUAGCCUUUCUCUUUUGAAAUCUCCUCAUCAUUUCUUCUUUUGCAUGAUGAAUAGCAUCAUACAAAUAUCCCAUCGAAGGUCUAUCAUUACCAUCAACCAUUCGUAGAACUCGAACUAAAGGUUCACUCAUUCGCACAAUUAUUGCACAUUCUUCCCAAAACAGAGAGUCUAGUACACUCUCAACAAAAUUUUUUCCUUUGCUAUCUUUAGCAUAAGCAGAUGAGACUCAUUCCCUAGAUGUCACCAUAGCUCUCAACUCAUCUUUAUGAACUAAAAUGCUUUGCAAUACAAUGAAAUUUGUAGCAAAACAAGUAGGAGCUGGACUUCCUCCGGUGAACUUCCUCAUCAAAUACAAUGGAUAACAAUGAUUAUAAAUAUAUUUUGUGAUACCAUAAGCAUGCUCAACAACACAACAAACUGACUGCAAUUUACCAAUGUCCUGGAGUAUGAGGUUGAUGCAAUGAACAGCACAAAGAGACCAAAAUAUUGAAAGAAAUUCUUCCAUCAAUAACCUGCCAGCAGCAACAUAAUUUGAAGCAUUAUCAGUCACCAUAUGCACAAUGUUUUCUACCCCAACAUACAAAACAACCUCUCUGAACAACUGAUAUAACAAUCUAGUAGUCUUUGAGACAUCUGAUAUAUCCACAGUUUUCGAAAAAAUUAUUCCUUUAGGACAAUAUACUAAGAAGUUAAUUAAAGUCCUCCUCUUCUGAUCUGUUCAUCCAUCAGCCAUUAAUGUGCAACCAGUCUUUUUCCAAAUCUCUCGAUAACUCUCAACAUAAAUCUUCACUUCAUCAACCGUUUUUGCCAAGUAAUAACCACGAAUAGCAUGUAAAUUUGGUCCUUUAUAACCAGGACCCAUGGCUGUUACAACAUCUAUGGCAUGUUGAUAAUACACAGAGUUAACAGCAUUAAAUGGCACACAUGCAUCAAUCAUCCACUUUGCUAAAGCAAGAUCACACCGUUCAACUGCUUCUUUCCUUUGCCAACAAUUCUGAAGAGACUUUUGAACACCAGGAGUUGUUCUCGGCAUGAAAUAUGUCCUUAAUGUUGCAGAUUUCUUCUGUUUUCCAUAACUUGUAGUCGAUUGUUUUACAGUGCUGGUGCUUUGAAUCUUUUUAUUUUUUGCAACCUUCGGUGGUAACAUAUGUUUUUUAGUAUUGACAUCCUCAUCAUCAUCGUCAUCUUCUAAUUGCCUAAUCAUCAUCUCUUCAUACUCCCUUUGUUGUGCAUUAAACGGAUUAAAAUCUGCUUGCAUUUCUCUAACUCUUUUUUUUUCAGCAUUUCCUUUAAGAUUCAAAAGCAUUUGAUGUCGAACAUCAUGAGGACAUUUGCGACGUUGUUCAACUUCUCCUUUAGCUCCAGCUAAAUGUUGCUUAAAUCGAUUAAUGCCACCACCCGCAAAUACGUUAGCACAAUAUAAACAUAUUAAGGCCAUGUUUAUUUCCUGGAAAGUGGUUUCCGGUUCUAAAUUUUCCUGUGUUUGUUUGCCAUUAGAAAAGUUGGUCAACGAAAAACACUUUUCAGUCAAAGGAAAAUUUGGCUUGGUUUCCAGGAAAGUGUUUUCCUGGAAAAUUUGGGCGGAAAACACUUUCCGGAAGUUGUGAAGAAUUUAGAAAUGUCAUAUUAUUUGUUGAUUAUAUCAAAUUUGGUCCUCAAACUUUUGAUUGCUAUAUAUAUUUUGUUUUGAAUAUUUAUUUUUCAAUUUCAUCUCUUAAAAUUUAAUUUUUAUAUUAAUUUUACUCCUCAUUUUUAUAAUUGUUAUUUGCUUUUCCCUUAUCAUUUUCUUAUUGAAAUUUUUUAUCUAUAAAAUUUGGUCCUCAUUCUUUUGAUUGUUACUUAUUUUAUUUGAAAUAAUUUAUGAAAUAUUAAUUAUUAUAAUUUUAAUUUCUUCAUCUUUCAUUUUUAUUUUAUUUUUUAGAUUUGAUUUCUAUUAUUUUGAUUAUUAUUUAUUUUAUUUGAGAUAAUUUAUGAAAUUAUAUUUUUUUUCAAUUUCAUCCUCAUUUAACUUUUUAAUUUGUAAGAUUUGUUCCUCAUUAUUUUAAUAAACUUGAGAAAAUAAAAACAUUAAUAAGUUAUUUUCCAACUCAUUUUCCAUGACAUAACCAAACACUAGAAAGUGUUUUCCAACUUAUUUUUCAUUACACUACCAAACAUCAGAAAAUAAUUCACUUUCCUGAAAUUCACUAUCCCAGAAUUCACUUUUCAAAAGAAAACUAUUUUCCAGCAAACAAACGGGGCCUAAUUUAGUUUUUUUACAUCCAACACUAAGUUCAGGAGCUUCUCUACAAUGACCCCAUGCCAAAUCUGUUCUUCCUCUACUACCACUUGACAUGGAAAUUGAAGGUUGAGAUGAUUGGGUCGUUGAAGGAUCACUACUUAGAGUACUACCAUCAUGUAAAGACAUUUUAAGGACCUGAUAUAAUUUAUAAGAGGGAAUAUAAUUUCAAGCCAAAUCAUAUACUUUUAUUAUAUAAUGAAUAAAUGACUUCAGUAUUUGUUUUUUAGAUUAUUUUCUUAUCUUGAGAAAAUUUUGUUUCCUAAUGGAACCUUGCAAGGAUACUAGACAGAGGGAAAGUAUUUACGGAAAAAAUCAAACACUGGAUGGCCUAAUAUGAUCGUGAUGAGCCUGAAGGUUAAAUUAAGCCUGAAGGUUAAAUUAUUAGUCAACUAAUAUGAUCCUGAUUCCUGAAGGUUAAAUUAAUAGUUAACUAAAAUCAACUAAAAUGCCAGUAAAUGAUCCUGAUUCCUAAAGGUUACAAAAUUAACUAAGCACAACCGACUUAAGCAGAACAGUAACAAAAUUAACCAAUUUGCAGAAGCAAAAGCAAAAGCAGAACAAACAAACAGGGACAUCAAAUUCAAUCACUCCAGCAGAAGCAAAAACAACUAAUUUGCAGAAGCAGAAGUAAAAGUAGAACGAAUGAACAGUGAAACAAAAUUCACAGUAAAAUAGAAUAACAAGUCAAGAGGUUUCUCAUCAUAUUUGUUCCAUGUCUGAGCAAUAUUCACAGCAAAGUUCAGGUCUUUGACCAUUUGAAGUCGCAGAAAAAUAAAAGAACAUAGAAAGUGAGAUACAUACAUGCGGAGCUUGAUGCAACCAUAUUAUUCGAUAGUUUCACCCACAUUUAACUAGUGUUUUGCCUAUGUUUUAUAUAUAAAAUGUCUUAAUAUUCUUUGUUUUAUGUUUUGAAGGCACUUUUGGAUGAAAGAUGCAAAAAUGAGUAAAUUAGAGAUAAUUGGCAGAUUUGACCUUCAGUCGAUGUUUUGUGCAAAGCGUGAGCUCUAGAGUUUGAAAUGACGUGAUUCCAGUGGCAUUAAAAAGAUAACAUCCAUACCUUUCUGGACAUCUAAGGUAAGAAAAUAAAAUAAGGAAGAGCAUGGAAAUCGCAGCCUUCAAAGUCAAAUCUCGCAAUCUGCCAAUGUUGACCUUUAGCCAUUAGAAAUUCAAUAUCUGGAGCCAUAGAAGUCCAAUUGAUGCAAACUCAAUUUUGUUGGCUUCCUGACUAACAUUCCUAUAAACGCACAAAAUUUCAGUCAUAUGAGGGAGAUAUGAUUUUUCAAAGAUGACAACUGAAUUAUGCCAGCAAACAGGUUUCGUGAAGAAACGAGUCCAAAUUACGUUCUGAAGCAUCUAAAUCGAUAUCCAAGUUUUUAUUUCAGCAAUUUAGCUCCUCUAAGUCAAAGCUUGAAGAUUUCAUACAAGGCUAUUUCUUCUUUUCUAGGAAAAUAGUUAUUGAAGUACUUAAAUGUAAAUAGUCUACUUAAGGGAGGACUAUUUUGUAAAAUAGAGACUAGGGUUUCCUAUGAUAUAAAAAGAAUGAGAGAAGAGAAGGGGAGCAGCCAGCCAAGAGGAGAAAAACACCCCCCUCCUCUAAGAAACUCGAAAUCAUGCAUUUCUCUUUCUUUUUUAUUAGUUGUUCAACAAACAUGCAAGGCUUCAGAUUUCAAGAACUGUGAGAUUUAUUUUACCUUUUCUUUUCAGUUUAUAUGAUGAAUAUGUUUGUUCUUCUAUGCUUAUUUUUCCUAUGAUUGUUUAUUUUAAUUGCUAGAGUGGACUCUAAGUUAUUAUUGUAGACAAUCUAUUGCUAAGUUUGAUAUCAAAACCGGAGUUUUGGUAUAUGAACUUGUGAAGCAACUGAGUUUAAUAAUUGUGACGGAUCUACGUUAUUAAUCUUAAGGAGAACAUUCAAUCAAAUCAAACAUAGACUGCGGACAGUUAUGUUUUCUUGAUUAAUCAACUUAUCUAGUUCUUAAGGCUGCCGUUGAAUUAAAUUACUAGUGCGGACACUGUGGUUGUUUGAUGGUUAGGGUUAGUUAUACAGCGGAUCCGUUAACUAACCAAUGUUAAGAAGAGAUAAAUAUUCAGAAUAUAAAUUGAUGUUUCGUUUCCAUGACCAGUUCUGUUUUGUAUAGGUGGAUGUGUGCUUGCAACCAAGGUUUGUUCUCUUGAUAAUUUUCUGAUUUUAUUAAAUUUCGUUUGAUAGUUUUCUGCUUUCUUUUGCUUUAGCCUAGAUAACGUCCAACCCCCCCCAAAAAUUGCAUAUCAUUUAGCAUAAAAAUCUAACUCGAAUCUUCCUCGUGGGAUCGACCCCUUGCUUGCUCUAUACUAUCUUGUGUGUUCUGUUUGAAGCUAGGGUAAUUAAUUUGUGCGACCGCGACAUCGCAAUAGAGCUGCAAGCCUGCAAGUUCAAAACAAAUGGGUCAACAGAGGGAAGAAUCGAUGCCACUGUUAUAGUAAAGCUCUCCUACAAGUUCAACAGAGGGAAGAAUCUUUAAAACAGAGGAUAUGCCACUAUUAUAGAAAAGAGAGAGCGAAAGAAGAAAGAAACAAGUAACAACAACUCAUCUAACCUUAUUCUCAUAUUUGAAACAAUGAUCAAGGAUUCAAGAGUCUUCUGCUCCUCUACUCUUCUUCGCGACUGAAAUGGGUUUAAAGAUUUCUUGAAUUAGCUUUGAAAUUAAUUAGGUCUUCUGCACUGCGUUCGUGACUUCGUUCCUCUGCUCUUCUCAUUUUGGCCUUUUAAUUGUAAAAGGCCAAAACGACGUCGUUUCGGUCAUGAAUAUAUAUAUAAAAAAUAAACUCGGGUCUCAACCGGCCCGGAUCAACCCUCUGGGUCGACUGGGUCAAUUCCCAACCUGUUUUUUUCUUAGACUCGUGUCGGCCAGGUCCCGGGUCGAUCCACCAGGCCGGACCGGGUUUUAAAACUAUACAUUUUGCACCUCGUUUAUGAAACCCUAAAUUCCUUAAAAUUUCACAGGGGCAUUUCCGUCAAAAGAUAAAAACUUAAAAUUAAAAAAAAAAUUAAAAAAAAAAUAAAAAGAAGGGAGCCUACAUCUAGCUGGUCAUGUCAGGUUAGGGAGGAGAGAAAGAAAAACUUGCUCAAAUAGAUGAUAGAUUCGGUCAGUUGGCAAUAAUUGCCAGGCUGUACACAUCUCUCCGUGUUCAAUAGCACCUUUUGUUUUGUUUUCUUCUCUUUCAACCAGUAUCUCCCCCUCCAUCCUUGUACUCUCCUGAAAUAAUCUAUCUCCAUCUUGUCUCUCUAUUUCCACUCUGCUACUGCAACCACCCCAAUGCAGUGUGCGCAUCGCGCACCCUCUCUCUUCUUCACUCUACACACAUUACCCCCAUGUACUCCACCAGCCUGUUUCUGCUAACCCCUGGCUUCCCUCCUCCUCCUCUGCUUCUUCUUCAUCCUUCUUUUAACAAAUUUUAAAAAGCCUAAUUAAAACCACCCCCACCUUCUCCCUUUUGUGUUUGUGUAUUUCUUUCGUGAAAGUGAAAGGCGAAGGGCAGAAGAAUAAUGGAUCCUUGCCCUUUCGUGCGCUUAACAGUAGGAAAUCUGGCUUUAAAAAUCCCUGUCGCUUCAAAACCUGCACGCUCUGUGGUUCACCCAUCAUCUUCUCCCUGUUUUUGCAAAAUCAAGCUCAAAAACUUCCCUCUUCAAACGGCUGUCAUUCCUUACAUUCCAUCUCAAUUUCCUGAAGGUCAGCUCCAAACUCCAGCUGCCACUUUCCACCUAAGCAAGUCUGAUCUCGACCGGCUCGUUGCCAAAUCUAUUUUCACCAACAAACUCCAACUCAAAAUCUCUCUCUAUACUGGCCGCCUCGGCACUACUUGUGGAGUUAACUCUGGGAGGUUGUUAGGGAAAGUUUCUGUACCUUUGGAUCUGGCGGGAACGGAAUCUAGAGGUGUUACGUUUCAUAAUGGAUGGAUUUCUAUUGGAAAAGAGAGUGUAAAGAGUUCCUCUGCUGUAUUUCAUUUGAAUGUUAAAGCUGAGCCUGAUCCAAGGUUUGUUUUUCAAUUUGACGGAGAACCUGAGUGCAGUCCCCAAGUGUUUCAGAUCCGAGGCAAUAUCAGGCAACCUGUUUUUACUUGCAAAUUCAGCCUUAGAACCACCGGCGGUGGUGACCGCAAUCGGAGAUCCAUGUUAGUUUGUUUUAGGGUUUUAACCUUCUUGCUUUUUAAUUUUAGUAAAAUCAAGCAUUAAUUUUUUUUUUUAAAUAGAGUAAAGCGCUGCAUUUGUUAAUCUCUUAAUCCAACUUGUUUUUAUUAAAAAGAGACUAAUACAAGUUAAUCAUGUUUUUUUAGGUGAUUAAAAACUUAAUUAUAUAUCUUUUUGGAGAUUAUUAUCCCAUCUUAUUUCGUGCUAUGUUGCUAAUUAAUUUGGAGUUACUUGUUUCUGGUUUUGCCCAGAUCAUUGCAAGAGGAGCCCAGCAGCUCAAGGAGCUGGCUAAGUUCAUUUGGUAGCGAAAUAGAGAGACCACUGAAAGAAAGAAAAGGCUGGUCAAUAACAGUCCAUGAUUUAUCCGGCUCACCAGUUGCCGCAGCUUCAAUGGUUACUCCAUUCGUACCUUCACCUGGUUCAGACAGAGUAAGCCGCUCGAACCCUGGUUCAUGGCUCAUCCUCCGCCCUGGAGCUGGUACCUGGAAACCAUGGGGCCGGCUGGAGUCUUGGCGCGAGCGCGGCUCGUCUGAUGGACUUGGCUACCGUUUUGAACUAAUCCCUGACACAAACGGCACUUUGAGCGCAGCCAGUAUUGUAUUAGCCGAGAGCACACUAAGUUCGCACAAAGGAGGCAAGUUUGUAAUUGAUUUAGGAGCCUGCUCAAACGGACGAACCACGCCGGCAAAUUCGGCUUCUCCUGUGUGUAGCCCAAGGGGUGGUGGCGAUCACGGUUAUGGAUUGUGGCCUAAUUGUAUGCACAGAGGGUUUGUAAUGUCGGCUAGCGUGGAAGGAGAAGGGAAGUGCAGUAAACCUGGCGUGGAAGUUGGUGUGCAGCACGUCAAUUGUACUGAAGAUGCAGCUGCUUUCGUGGCAUUAGCUGCUGCCGUUGAUUUGAGUAUGGAUGCUUGUAAGCUCUUCUCGCAACGGUUAAGAAAAGAGCUCUGUCAAGAUCAGGAUAUGCUUGGCUGACAGGGGUGAUGAUUCUGGUUUUUUUGUUUUUUUUUGGCGGGGGGAGGGGGGCGCUUUUACGUUGUCGUUUUGUGAUAAUUAAUUUUUUUCGGGUGGAUGGAUCUUAAUAUUUUCCUGCUACCAAGUACAAACAAAUAACUGACUGUGUACAGGGAGCUAGAUUAGACAGGCACGCUUUGUUUUAAUUUGGGUGGCUCGUUUUUAUUUGUUUUUAAGAAAAAAGCGUUAUGAAGGUGAUGUUUUAUAUCUUUGAUGUUUCUGUGAUAUUGGUUUUUUUUUUUGAAAUUAAUAUUUUUUUAUUUUAUUAGAUGAAUUUGAUGUGUUAAUACUAAAAAUAAAUUUUUAAAAAAUAAAAAUAUAUUAAUUUAAUGUAUUUUUAAAUAAAAAAUAUCUUAAAAAUAAUUGAUAUACUAAACAGGGUUUUAUACGGUUGAUUAACUGUAUUUUUAAUUUUAAGUUAUCUUUUUGUGAGUUUUUGUAUUAUUUUAAAAUAAUAGAGUUAAAAAUAAAUUUUAAAAAUAAAAGAAAAUAUUAUUUGUAAAACAGGACAAUUACAUGUGAAAUUUCUUCUGCAGAAAUAAUUUUAGUAAUUGUUUUUAAAAUAAAGAUAAUGUUUGUUUAUUUGUAAGAGAUAAUAUUUUAAAAAUAAAUAAAUAUUAGUUUUAAUCUAGUGAUAUAAAUAAUAUUUAUUUAAAUAUAAAAGUUAUUUUAAAUUUAACAAAUAAAUCAAUUCAUUGUUAAUGGAUAUACAGCUAAGCAUGCGUUAAAAAUAAAAAUAAAAAUUCAAUUUCACGCGCCAUGAAUAUAUAUUUUUACAAUAUUAUCAUUGAUUAUUUUAAAGAAAGAGAAAAAAAUAAAAUAUAAAAAGAGCACUUCAUUGGAAAUCAAAUUAAUUUCCAACAUAAAAUCUUUGGUGCUAUUGACAAAGAAUAUUUAUUUUUAAAAUUCAAAAUUUGAAAGAUUAUUUUUGAAAGUUAGAGAUGAGAUAUGGAGGUUGGUGCGGGGGAGCAGGUACGGGAAGUGCUGGGCGUGCACGCAAGGACUCAAUGAAAAAGAGCAACAAAAGAAAGAGAGAGAGAAGUGGAUGGUAGCUGUAAUGCGCUUUUGAGUUAUAUAAUAAAUUUGGCUUUGGUAUGAAUGAAGUGUGGAGCUGCUGCUUAUUACUGCUAUUAAUUAUUAGGAGCGUUUAUCUGACUUGUGCAGCAAAUAGCUUAUUUUAUAAUCUUAAGUUUUCCUUUAUGGAAAGAUCGGAUCCCACUGUCGAAGACUGUUUCUGGGGACCGACGACCAUUCAUGGCAUGGCUAGAGGUGAUUCUGAAGGUGAGCUCAAGUGGUCCGGAAACGAUUUCAUAAUCCGGCCCGUGUUGGGACUCCUCUUUCUGAAAUGAGGAGUCACGUUCACGUCUUCAGGGCUGACCUGAAACUGUCACAGCUAGCUUUUGUUGGAAAAUGAGGUCUGAGGAACAUUGUGCUUUGUAGGGUUGGCUUGUGGUGUCUUACUGUUACACAUGACAUGCUAACAAGAGGGGACCCAAGUUAAACACUGCUAUGCUAGCAUGAGAGAUUAAAUAGCUGGAGCUUCUGCUGCCUAUCCAGUAAAAAGUACGAGGAAUGGGCCUUUUUCUUCUUUUUAUCUCUCAAAUUUACAUUUAAUUUGAUCAGCGUGAAGUGACUGAAUCACGGGGACGCCUUGCAGCCAGAUUAUUAUUAUUAUUAUUAUUAUUAUUAUAAUUCAUUUGCUUAUGACUUGCAGUGGUUGUCUGUCGACCGGUGAGCUUUUCGGGUGCGUUUGUUUUGCACCUAUUUGUGUGUUUACAGUAUAAAAGAUAUUUAGUAAUUAUAAAAACUGUGUUUUAUAGCAUAGAGCACAUUAAAAAAUUGAGUUUAAAAUGUAGUUUUUCUGAAGCAGUUUUUAUAUAUUUUUUUAAUUGAGUUUCAUAAAAUACCGUUUGUUUUUGUCUUUCAAAAGCGUUUUUGAAAAAAAUUGAUAAUUUUUUAUUUUUUUCUUUACUUCAAAUUAAUAUUUUUUUAGUAUUUUUAGAUCAUUUUGAUGCGCUAACAUCAAAAAUAAUUUUUAAAAAAUAAAAAUACAUUUUUUUAAUGCAUUUCCAAGUAAAAAUCACUUUGAAAAGCAACCACACAACUUUUAUACAUGUUUUUCGCGGCACAUAAAACCUCAACCAUAAUUUUUACCAAACACGUAUCUAAAUCCAACUAACCACACAUAACCAUAUUUUUUUUUAACUUAUUUUUUUUAAAUCACAACUAUAAAAACUACCUUAAAAACAAAUACUCUCUUUGCUGACCCGCAAACGAUACAACGUGAUUUCUUAGAAGAGAGUUUGCUCUGUUUGGUAUCGCGAUCGAGUAAAAUUUAAUUUUUUUAUUUAAAAUUUAUUUUUUAAUUUUUUUAAUUUUUUUGAUAUGUUGAUAUCAAAAAUAAUUUUUAAAAAAUAAAAAAAUAUAUUAUUUUGAUAUAUUUUCGAGUAGAAAAUACUUUAAAAAAAAAAAAACCUUCUCUUUUUUUUUUUUUUAAUCAUUAGAAUCAUGUUAGAAUGUACAAGUCAGUUGCCCAAGCUGGAUAUAAUUUUUUCAUAAUAUAAUUAAACCCAACCAAGCUCUAAUGGGGCAAUAUAAUGACCGCGUUGGGUUUUAAAGCAAAUUAAAUAGAAGUUUACCUAAUAAAACUCAACAACCUGGCAGAUACAUCCUAGUAAAAACCCAAGUUGCCUUAUAAAAAAAUUAAAAAUAUUAAUUUAAUAUUUUUUAUUUAUAAAUACAUUUAAUUAAAUUAUUUAUAAAAAUAGAUAUCUGUUGGAUGCGUUGGGCUGGAUUGUUUCCUAUCGUGAAAGGGGAGCGAAGUCAGAGCUAUUCUUUAAGUUAAAAAUGGACUUCCCAAACCUUAGAUACAAUGCCAAGUUUCUUUAAGUUGAAACCCACGUAGCUUGGGCUUCUUCCUUCAAUUCACAAAUCAAUUAAUCAGAAGUUUCGAGUAGUCUUCAAAAGAUAUUUAUAAAAAAGUUUGUCCGCCAUUUAUGGAUAUUUAUAAAUAAUAAUUUAAUUAAUUCCAUCUAUAUCCUUUCUUUAGACCUUUCAUGUUUUCGAGGAAUUUUUUUCCUAGAUUCUAACACCUGUUUCUACCAACUUUAAACCAUGCCAUAUCAAAUUACCUUAUACUACAUUUCACCAUUAUUCUUUCAUCAUUUAUUUUUUCAUCUGCUUUUUUAUUCUUAUUUUUGUGUUUUUUGUUUUUCAGCUAUUUUUUGUAAUUUAAUUUUUUUAAAAAAAUCAUCCAUACAUACACAUUUUAUUCUAAUUUUUCAUAUCUAUCAUCAUCCUGAUGAGUUAAAUAUUCAAUUUAUUUAGUAUAAGUUUUCCCUUGUUAAUUUUAUUAAAAAAAAUCCAAUGAUUUACACAAACACUGCUUCAAUAAAGACUUGCACCUUGUUGAUGAAUUGCUGGAAGAUUUAGUUGGGCAGGAGUGCCUAUAGUAACGGUUAGAUUCGACAUGCAUCCCGAUCCAUGUGUGUCUAUAUUGUAUGCUAUCGAAUAAUGUAAUAAUAUCAAAAAUAAAUUUUUGGUAAGAAAUUAAUGGCUUUUUUAUAUCAUCAUUUUCCCACAAAUAGCACCAAUGAUGAUAUCUUAAAAAACCUCAGGGUGCUUAGGAACAAGACUUAUAUGGGUGGAUAAAUUGGUUAAUCACUUGGCCGUAUAAUCUAUUCCAUUCUCUAUGGCUAUGAUGGCCAAAAUAGGUGUAGCUUGAUGUGGAAAGCUAAAAAUACCUGCAAAAGGUCAUUUAUGGUAGGUUAAAGGACUCUCAGAUGGUUAAGUAAAUAUUUUUAUAGUGAGAGAAAGAGUGCAAUGAUAUUAUAUAUAUAUAUAUAUAUAUAUAUAUAUAUAUAUUAAAAAGGGUUUUUAUGCUCGGCGUGUCCUUUAUAUGAAAAUCUGAGGCCAUGGGGCCAUUCCUUUGACUCGUACUGAUGAGAAUUUGACUCCACGAGAAAUUGAGCAAAAAGCAGCGGAAUUGGCUUAUUUUUUACGUGUACCUAUUGAAGUAUUUUGAAAUAAACCGAAGCAUUUUUCUUAGCAGGAGGUAAAAAAUGUCCAAUCAAUUUUUACCUCUUAUUCUAGUGUGUACUUUCGGAGGAGCAUGCAAGCAAGAAGGAAGUUUGUGCUUGAUGCAAAUGGCUAAAAUUUAUUCCGCUUUAUAUGAUUGUCAAUUGAAUAAAAAGUUAGUUUAUGUAUCAAUCCUUACAUCUCCUACGACUGGUGGGGUGACAACUAGUUUUGGUAUGUUGGGGGAUAUCAUUAUUGUUGAACCCAACGCCUACAUUGCAUUUGCAGGUAAAAGAGUAAUAGAACAAACAUUGAAUAAGACAGUACCUGAAGGUUCACAAGCGGCUGAAUUUUUAUUCCAUAAGGGCUUAUUCAAUCCAAUCGUACCACGUAAUCUGUUAAAGGAUGUAGAGUGUGAACCCUUUACCUACAAUGAAUAUUUAUAGCCCAUGAACUUUAUUUUUUUGCUGGAGUGGAGGGGCUGGAUAGUCAUUUUACCCUGAUAAAUUAAUCUUGAAUCAUGAAUUUAGACUUAGAGGAAUUAAAUUUCCCAAAUAUAGACUUGGAUGUCGGUUUGGAUGCUUGGAAAGUAAAUUGAACUCGUUUCUUCACAAAACCUGUCCACUGAUAGAAUUUAUAAGUCAUCUUAGAAAAAUCAUAUCUCUCUCUUGUGAGCUCAUUUUCUACUACAAUUUGGUAGGCUUAUAGGUCUUCAAGUCAGGAAUUCAACACAAGUAAGUUUGCAUCAAAUAGAUCUCUCUAACUCAAGAUAUUCAAGUUGGAAUGACCGAAGGUCAACACUGGCAAAAUACGAGAUCUGUCUUUGAAGGCUGCGAUUUCCAUGCUCUUUCUCUUUUUAUUUUUCUUGCCAUAUAUGUAUAAAACGAUAUGGAUAUUAGAUUUCUAAUGCCACUGGAAUCACUUCAUUUCUACCUCUAGAGCUCAAGCUCUGCACAAAACAUUGAUCAAAUGUCAAAUCUGCCUUUAAAUCAUAAAACAAAAAAUAUCAAGGCAUUUUAUACAUAAAAAAAAUACAAAAUACUAGGCAAAUGUGAGUAAAACUAUCAAAUAAUAUGAUUGCAUCAAUAUUCAAUUAAAUCGAACAUCGAUUGUAAACAAUUAUGUUAUCUAGAUUUAUCAAGCUAUCUAGUUCUCAAGGUUGUCAUUGUAUUAAAUUACUAUUGCAAAUACUAUGAUUAUUUAAUUAUUAGGGUUAGUUACAUUAUGUAUUGGUUAAUUGACUAAUGUUAAGGAAAGAUAAAUAUUCAGAAUAUAAAAUAAUAUAUCGUUUCAAUGAUGAGUUUUAAUUUAUGUAAGUAGAUAUUUACUUGAGACCAAGAUUUUUCUCUUGAUUAGUCUCAAAUUUAUUUAAUUUAACUUGAUUAUUUUAUUCUAUUUAUCAUAGCAUAACCUAGACAACCUCAAACUUUGAAUCAUCUAGCAUAAAGACUUACACUAGAUCUUCCUUGUGAGAUCGUCCCUUUCUUACUCUAUACUAUCUUAUUUGUUUAAGUUGGGGUAAUUAAUUUGUAUAACUGUGAAAUCAUAAUAAAAGUCCACAAGUCAAAAGAAAAUAAAUAACAAAAUUCGUAAACUUGUCCGAACUUAUAUCGUGAGUCCUUCUCAAAUUUCGAUUCACCUAAAAGUUUUCCCCAACAUAGAAAAAUACAUCUGGAAUAUUUUGAUAAAAUUUCAGCUUGAUCCAACGGUUUGAUUUAAAGUUAUAUUCAAUAACGUAAAACUAGAUAAUAGAACAUUUUACGUUAAAAUCCAAAUCUAACCUUACUUGGAUCAUAUCACGACAUCUAUAAUAACUUUUUAGUCAAACCUAGUUUUAACCAAGUCAACCAAAUAAUAAUUGACCCCUUCAAAUUAACCGGUCAUAUUAAUUUAAGUUCUACAUGAUUAAGCCAAAUCAAAUGGCAUCAAAUGGCCUCCAAGUUGAUCUGCACAAUUUAAUAAGAUAAAAAAAUUUUAAUUAGACAAAUAUUUUUUGAAUCUUAUUUUAAAAUGUCCAAGAAUUUUUUGUAUGAUUGUUGUGAUUUUUUUAUAUAUUAAAUGAAUGAUACAUAACAGCAAAUAAUAUUUUUUAUUUUUAUAGAUAAGAGAUAUAAAUAAAAGAAGAUGUUAUACUAGCAAUUUGAAAUUAUUGCUCUUUUAAAAAUUAAAAAAAAAAUUCACCAUAUUAAUAAACAAGACUUUGAUAAAUCUUUAGAUCAGAUCUUGAUGUAUGUCAUUUUAUAAUUUUUUUUUUAUCAAACCGCUUCCUAGCACAGGCCAGUAACUAGUUUAAACUAAACAAUUCCAAUCUCUCAAGUAUGUUACAAUAUGUAUAAUCAAUCAUACAUGCUUUCAGUGCUGAAGAGUUCCCCUCAACGACGACAAAGACAACAGCAAAACGAACAAGAGAGUUACAGAGACACUGUCAAAGAGAAACAGCGUCGAUUCCAUUAUUUACAAAAAUCCAACUUUAUUUUGCCUUUGCAGCAGAUGCAGUGAAAGCAGAAAACAGUCUACAAAUCUCUUUUUAUUCCGGGAGAAAUUAAGACAACAAACACGAACUUAAACGCAAGGCUGCAAAUAACUGGCAAGAAAAGCAUAAGAGAGGAAUCAUAGAAUAGAGCAAGAGGAAGAAGAUCCAGCACCAUUUCCUUUGGGGUUAUUGGGAUCGACACCAGGCCAUUCACGGCAGAGACAGUGUUGCCCCUCAGGGAUGCCCCUAUAAACGGAAGGAACAUGCCUGCCACAACCACCCCAGGUGGUCUUGCCGCACGUUGAGCAUCUCUCCCUGUAACACAUCUUUCGGCUCUGAGAGUACUGUUGAUUGUUUCUUUUUAUGUUUUCUUCUCUCUUCGCCUCUUUAAUGAUUGAAUGGCGACGACAGA